GCUCGGUUAGCUCAGCUGGUUAGAGCGUCGUACUAAUAUCUUCAAAACCUUGGACAUAUAUAGUAAUGCGAAGGUCAUGAGUUCAAUCCUCAUACUGAGCA
Jackrogersella minutella is the source of this 101-nucleotide non-coding RNA. Lineage: Eukaryota; Fungi; Ascomycota; Sordariomycetes; Xylariales; Hypoxylaceae. The record is from the annotation of a GenBank genome assembly.